Molecule: long non-coding RNA, 607 nt
Filed under: Macaca mulatta (Rhesus monkey)
Lineage: Eukaryota; Metazoa; Chordata; Mammalia; Primates; Cercopithecidae
Description: lncRNA (ENSMMUG00000055970.1)
Source: RNAcentral
AUGCCUCAGUUUCCUCUUCAGUGCAGUUUCCUCUCCCCCUCACAGUGCAAACAGACUGGAAAAGAUAUUACCAUAGAGACUUUAGAAUGUCUACAAGUGCAAGAAUUCUUUUUACAGGACAUUUCUCCUUUAGUCUAUGGCAACGAAUGCAUAUCCUCAUCACUUUCAAAGGCAGUGUUGGCUGGACUCAGAAUCAAGACAAGAGUGAUCAGGGUACUUCAUCUCCCUGCUGCAGCCCAGCAGAUUGUAAACUCUCUAAACAGUAACGACUGUCAAUCUGUUCCAUGGGAUGCCAAUGUGCACAGUAGGAGGGAAGUAGAGCACCUCUUAUCUACAAGCAAUACGUACUGUGCAGGCAUUUCACCUCUUUAUUCUUCUGUAAUCACUGCAACCACCUAUGUUCACAGAUGUCAGUAUGGAAAUUCAUAAAGAUGGACAAAAAGAUGAAGAGGCAUACUGACACACUCACACACACACAAAUGGAAAACAGAUUUGUUUUGACAACCUAUUAUACUACAAAAAUAUUUAUGAAUGUAAGCUGCAGCAAAGUGCAUCCAUCUUCCAAAAGCACACAUACCCCGCCAAAGGCUGCUGAGAUUCAGGGAAG